AGUGAACGCUGGCGGUAGGCCUAACACAUGCAAGUCGAACGGCAGCACAGUAAGAGCUUGCUCUUACGGGUGGCGAGUGGCGGACGGGUGAGGAAUACAUCGGAAUCUACUUUUUCGUGGGGGAUAACGUAGGGAAACUUACGCUAAUACCGCAUACGACCUACGGGUGAAAGCAGGGGAUCUUCGGACCUUGCGCGAUUGAAUGAGCCGAUGUCGGAUUAGCUAGUUGGCGGGGUAAAGGCCCACCAAGGCGACGAUCCGUAGCUGGUCUGAGAGGAUGAUCAGCCACACUGGAACUGAGACACGGUCCAGACUCCUACGGGAGGCAGCAGUGGGGAAUAUUGGACAAUGGGCGCAAGCCUGAUCCAGCCAUACCGCGUGGGUGAAGAAGGCCUUCGGGUUGUAAAGCCCAUUUGUUGGGAAAGAAAAGCAGCAGGUUAAUACCCCGCUGUUCUGACGGUACCCAAAGAAUAAGCACCGGCUAACUUCGU
RNAcentral lists this ribosomal RNA (491 nucleotides) under uncultured bacterium. RNAcentral's name for it is "partial 16S ribosomal RNA". It matches the Rfam family "Bacterial small subunit ribosomal RNA", at positions 29 to 506 of the family's 1533-position model. The record is from RNAcentral.